UAGUUCCUUUUGAUCGGUGAGGAGGGGGGCGGGGGCAAGCAGGCAGCCUGCUUGCCCCCGCCCCCCUCCUCACCGAUCAGCGUGAGCGA
RNAcentral lists this microRNA precursor (89 nucleotides) under Mayetiola destructor (Hessian fly). Its description in RNAcentral is "microRNA MIR1846". The record is from RNAcentral. Lineage: Eukaryota; Metazoa; Arthropoda; Insecta; Diptera; Cecidomyiidae.